GACGAACGCUGGCGGCGUGCUUAACACAUGCAAGUCGAGCGGUAAGGCCCUUUCGGGGGUACACGAGCGGCGAACGGGUGAGUAACACGUGGGUGACCUGCCCUCAGCUCUGGGAUAAGCCUGGGAAACUGGGUCUAAUACUGGAUAUGACUCCACGGUGCAUGUCGUGGGGUGGAAAGCCUUGUGCGGCUGAGGAUGGGCCCGUGGCCUAUCAGCUUGUUGGUGGGGGAUGGCCUACCAAGGCGACGACGGGUAGCCGGCCUGAGAGGGCGACCGGCCACACUGGGACUGAGACACGGCCCAGACUCCUACGGGAGGCAGCAGUGGGGAAUCUUGCGCAAUGGGCGAAAGCCUGACGCAGCGACGCCGCGUGAGGGAUGACGGCCUGU
RNAcentral lists this ribosomal RNA (389 nucleotides) under uncultured bacterium. Its description in RNAcentral is "bacterial SSU rRNA". It matches the Rfam family "Bacterial small subunit ribosomal RNA", at positions 28 to 419 of the family's 1533-position model. The record is from RNAcentral.